AGACAAUUCCCCUCCCUCUUCCCUUUCCUCGUGUUUGUUCGACUCGUAAGGGUCGAAAACUCCCAGAUCUGAGGAGAUCUGAAAACUCGAGACUUAAUCCUCCUUCUUCGAGGGUGUACGACGUGUAUGGGGUGAUGACGUUCCUUCGAAGGUGGCUGACUUAUGAUGCUCGUUGUGGUGAUCCGAAGGUUAGGCUGGGUCGUGGGUCAUGUGAGAAUGAAAACUUCAGCAUUCAUAGAAGUUUUCGGGUCUUGUUGGAGACCACGAAAAAAUUCAUUACAUUAUCUGUCCCUAAAAAGAAAUUUCGUUCUCAAAAGUCUCAAACGCCUUGAUUAAUUCAAGGUAUUUUCCUUUAUUCCCUCCUCUCGUUCCCAUAUAGCUUCUUUGAUGAUUCAGCCAUAAUACUUUGACGAAACCUAUGCCCCUAUUAUGUAAGACUUUCAUUUCCCGAGCUAGUAACUUAUUCGGUUUCUCUUGGUAA
Long non-coding RNA from Cucurbita maxima (winter squash), 481 nucleotides. RefSeq lists it as uncharacterized. The record is from RefSeq and is a predicted model, not a curated record. NCBI's taxonomy places the organism in Eukaryota, Viridiplantae, Streptophyta, Magnoliopsida, Cucurbitales, Cucurbitaceae. The transcript is spliced from 2 exons.